CCUACGGGUGGCAGCAGUGAGGAAUAUUGGUCAAUGGCCGGAAGGCUGAACCAGCCAUGCCGCGUGAAGGUCAGUGCCCUAUGGGCGUUAAACUUCUUUUGUGCGGGAGCAAUAAUGGUCACGUGUGGCCAGACGAGAGUACCGUACGAAUAAGCAUCGGCUAACUCCGUGCCAGCAGCCGCGGUAAUACGGGGGAUGCAAGCGUUAUCCGGAUUUAUUGGGUUUAAAGGGUGCGUAGGCUGUGAGGUAAGUCAGCGGUGAAAUGCCCCCGCUCAACGGGGUGAAGUGCCAUUGAUACUGGCUGGCUGGAAUGCGGAUGCCGUGGGAGGAAUGUGUGGUGUAGCGGUGAAAUGCAGAGAUAUCACACAGAACACCGAUUGCGAAGGCAUCUCACGAAUCCGCGAUUGACGCUGAUGCACGAAAGCGUGGGUAUCAAACAGGAUUAGAUACCCGUGUAGUC
This 460-nucleotide ribosomal RNA is filed under the name uncultured bacterium. RNAcentral's name for it is "partial 16S ribosomal RNA". It matches the Rfam family "Bacterial small subunit ribosomal RNA", at positions 338 to 795 of the family's 1533-position model. The record is from RNAcentral.